AUUGAACGCUGGCGGCAUGCCUUACACAUGCAAGUCGAACGGCAGCACGGGAGCAAUCCUGGUGGCGAGUGGCGAACGGGUGAGUAAUGUAUCGGAACGUACCUUUCAGUGGGGGAUAACGUAGCGAAAGUUACGCUAAUACCGCAUAUUCUGUGAGCAGGAAAGCAGGGGAUCGCAAGACCUUGCGCUGAUUGAGCGGCCGAUAUCAGAUUAGCUAGUUGGUGGGGUAACGGCUCACCAAGGCAACGAUCAGUAGCUGGUCUGAGAGGAUGAUCAGCCACACGGGCACUGAGACACGGGCCCGACUCCUACGGGAGGCAGCAGUAGGGAAUAUUGGACAAUGGGCGCAAGCCUGAUCCAGCCAUCCCGCGUGAAGGAUUAAGGCCCUCUGGGUUGUAAACUUCUUUUGGACGGGAACAAAGGCAUCACUGCGGUGGUGUUUGAGGGUACUGUCAGAAUAAGCACCGGCUAACUCCGUG
This 479-nucleotide ribosomal RNA is filed under the name uncultured bacterium. Its description in RNAcentral is "bacterial SSU rRNA". It matches the Rfam family "Bacterial small subunit ribosomal RNA", at positions 30 to 507 of the family's 1533-position model. The record is from RNAcentral.